GUGAGGAAUAUUGGGCAAUGGGCGAAAGCCUGAUCCAGCCAUGCCGCGUGUGUGAAGAAGGUCUUCGGAUUGUAAAGCACUUUAAGUUGGGAGGAAGGGCAGUAAGUUAAUACCUUGCUGUUUUGACGUUACCGACAGAAUAAGCACCGGCUAACUUCGUGCCAGCAGCCGCGGUAAUACGAAGGGUGCAAGCGUUAAUCGGAAUUACUGGGCGUAAAGCGCGCGUAGGUGGUUUUGUAAGUUGGAGGUGAAAUCCCCGGGCUCAACCUGGGAACUGCCUCCAAAACUACUGAGCUAGAGUACGGUAGAGGGUAGUGGAAUUUCCUGUGUAGCGGUGAAAUGCGUAGAUAUAGUAAGGAACACCAGUGGCGAAGGCGACUACCUGGACUGAUACUGACACUGAGGUGCGAAAGCGUGGGGAGCAAACAGGAUUAGAAACCCCAGUAGUCC
Molecule: ribosomal RNA, 450 nt
Filed under: uncultured bacterium
Lineage: Bacteria
Description: partial 16S ribosomal RNA
Rfam family: Bacterial small subunit ribosomal RNA
Source: RNAcentral